Molecule: ribosomal RNA, 289 nt
Filed under: Staphylococcus delphini
Lineage: Bacteria; Bacillati; Bacillota; Bacilli; Caryophanales; Staphylococcaceae
Also listed under: 1 other name
Description: partial 16S ribosomal RNA
Rfam family: Bacterial small subunit ribosomal RNA
Source: RNAcentral
AAACCGCGAGGUCAAGCAAAUCCCAUAAAGUUGUUCUCAGUUCGGAUUGUAGUCUGCAACUCGACUACAUGAAGCUGGAAUCGCUAGUAAUCGUAGAUCAGCAUGCUACGGUGAAUACGUUCCCGGGUCUUGUACACACCGCCCGUCACACCACGAGAGUUUGUAACACCCGAAGCCGGUGGAGUAACCAUUUGGAGCUAGCCGUCGAAGGUGGGACAAAUGAUUGGGGUGAAGUCGUAACAAGGUAGCCGUAUCGGAAGGUGCGGCUGGAUCACCUCCUUUCUAAGGA